AUGUCCUUGGAUUCUGUCCUAACCUGUUUCUCAACCGACCAGUGCAGCUCACCAGUGACUUUUCUGGUGGUUUCUGUUUCAGAGCACAGAUGUCUGCCAGUCCCCAGACACGCCCGGAAUGAGGCUCCCACGGGCUGCACAGCCCCAGGCCCUGGCCACGCUGCCAUUGCCUUACCCCCUUCACCCUUUCUCCAGAUACAUCUCUUCAUGGAAGGUGGCACCUGUGCACCAAGGUCGAGCCUGGUCACUGCUCCGGCAGCCCCAGGAGCCGCUGGAUUCACCCACAAGGCAUGGGAACUUUGGGGCUGCGGCUGCCUUGAGAGAACCGGACACACACUGGAAAAGGCAUAUGAGCGCAGUCCGGAAAUGUAAACACGAAGCUGACCCAGAGAGAGAUUGGAGUCAAUGUAUUUUCUUUUUGAGAUAAGGCUAUGCUCCUACAAACAACCUUGGACUUCAUUUGGUUAAGAAAAAAGAUGGAACGUGGCNNNNNNNNNNNNNNNNNNNNNNNNNNNNNNNNNUGGGUUUUCUGUUAGGUUCUUCGUGUGUUUUUAUGUUCUUCUGGAAUGCCUAAAGUCUUUUUGUUUACUUUCCAAAAUGAAGGAAGUUGAGGGGGCAGUAGGUGAGGGAGGGUGCAGGAUUCUUACUCCUCACGAAAGUCAACCCAGAGUCACCUAGGCCUGCUUCUCUUCGCACUGGUCAUGCGGGCUGCCAGUUACCUGUGCUCACGCCUGCCUCCCCUGGACUGGGGACUCCGCGAGAGCAAGGGCGUGUCCUUGAAAGCUCGCCUGAAGGUCUCCACACCCAGCUUACUACCUAGCUCAGAGCCGGUGCUCAAAACGUAUCUAUUGAAUGAUUCUAAGACACUUCUAGAUAUUUUUUAAAUAAUAUUUUUUAUUAUGUUAGUCACCAUACAGUACUUCCCUAGUUUUUGAUGUAAAGUUCCAUGAUUCAUUACUUGCGUAUAACACCCAGUGCACCAUGCAAGACACUUCUGGAUAUUAAUCAGGAAUGUUAAAAUCUCCAUUAUUUGGACUCCUAUCGCAAAGGAA
This 1052-nucleotide long non-coding RNA is filed under the name Ursus maritimus (polar bear). RNAcentral describes it as "lncRNA (ENSUMAG00000003551.1)". The record is from RNAcentral. Lineage: Eukaryota; Metazoa; Chordata; Mammalia; Carnivora; Ursidae.